CCCUUAGAUGUUCUGGGCCGCACGCGUGCUACACUGAGUGGAUCAGCGGGUCAGGCUGCGCGAAAGCGUUUCCUAAUCUUUAAAUCCGCUCGUGAUGGGGAUUGACGGUUGCAAUUUUCUGUCAUGAACGAGGAAUACCUUGUAAGCGCGGGUCAUCAUCCCGCGCUGAAUACGUCCCUGCCCUUUGUACACACCGCCCGUCGCUCCUACCGAUUGAAUGUUCCGAUGAAUACCAUGGACUGAGAGUAUGAAUGGGUUCGCCUAUUUCUGCUUCUCGGGAAGUGGAGUAAAUCUUAACAUUUAGAGGAAGGAGAAGUCGUAACA
RNAcentral lists this ribosomal RNA (324 nucleotides) under uncultured eukaryote. RNAcentral's name for it is "partial 18S ribosomal RNA". It matches the Rfam family "Eukaryotic small subunit ribosomal RNA", at positions 1470 to 1796 of the family's 1831-position model. The record is from RNAcentral.